AACUUUUUUUUUAGAAUGUUCUCUGGAGGAAGCCGUCACCUGUGACAGCGGUGGCAACGCUUCUUUAGAUACUCAUGCAUUGUAUGACCAGUAUCACAAUGACGAGUGUGACUGGACUAUUAAGAACAAGGUAUAUACAAACAUGUACAAAUAUUGCAGUGCUAAAUGGAUGAAGUAGUCACUAUCCACAUUCAUGUGUUUUCUCAUGCUGUUUUUUCACAUGUAGGAUGGCAUUAACAGAAAUUAACAGAUUCUACAAGUAUAAAUGUCCAAUGCACCUUGCCUGAGAUUCACUUGCGCAUAAACUGCAUCAUUCCACAGCUAGACUGUCUAAUAACAUUCAUUCAUUCAUUUUAUACCGCUUAUCCGAACUACCUCGGGUCACGGGGAGCCUGUGCCUAUCUCAGGCGUCAUCGGGCAUCAAGGCAGGAUACACCCUGGACGGAGUGCCAACCCAUCGCAGGGCACACACACACACACACACUCUCAUUCACUCACACAAUCACACUACGGACAAUUUAUCCAGAGAUGCCAAUCAACCUACCAUGCAUGUCUUUGGACCGGGGGAGGAAACCGGAGUACCCGGAGGAAACCCCCGAGGCACGGGGAGAACAUGCAAACUCCACACACACAAGGUGGAGGCGGGAAUCGAACCCCGACCCUGGAGGUGUGAGGCGAACGUGCUAACCACUAAGCCUAAUAACAUGAUUAUUUUAUUUGUUUAAUAUUUCAUUUAAUAUUUUGUUUAAUUAUUCAUAAUGUUUAAUAGCUUCAUAUACUAUAUGAUUUAAUUGAUUACAUCUUGUGUCUUUCUUUUUCAGCGCGUUGACAAGUGCAUUUGCUACAAGUUAAAACCCAAUGAUCCUCCAAGUUAUGGAGCAAGUGAGUAGAACAUAAAAUUAAGCUCUUCCAUUUUUCUACAUUAAUUUGGCACUCAGUUUCUGUGACAUAUCACACAGUAAAUUAUGGAAUAUGGACAUAGUAUAUCAAUAGGAUAAAAUAAUUUGUCAUUCACUGUUGUUGAAAAUCUGUUUUACUUUAGAAAUCUGACCAAUGAUUUUGUCACUUAUAAUCCUGAAUACCUCAUUGUAUAAUUAUCUUGCAUGGGUUUUAGCUCGCAAUCACAUUGGGUGGGAAGUGGUUGUUCUGUGUGUAUUGUGGUGGACGAUUUGGUGGUGGUGCUGGAACUGACUGAUAAACAAAACAUUCACGAUCACAGAUGAUGAUGGAAGUUUGGCUUCACGCUUUAUUGGAUCUGCAAUUUUUAUGAUUUUAAUACACAAUUUGGCCAGAGGGUUGUGGAAACCUGACAAUCACACAAAGACACAUUU
Tachysurus vachellii is the source of this 1331-nucleotide long non-coding RNA. RefSeq lists it as uncharacterized. The record is from RefSeq and is a predicted model, not a curated record. Lineage: Eukaryota; Metazoa; Chordata; Actinopteri; Siluriformes; Bagridae. The transcript has 3 exons.